GUAGAGCACAGUGAUAGAGCACUUGCCUAGCAUGCAAGGGCCCUGGGUUCAAUUCCCAGUAC
Molecule: transfer RNA, 62 nt
Filed under: Marmota marmota marmota (Alpine marmot)
Lineage: Eukaryota; Metazoa; Chordata; Mammalia; Rodentia; Sciuridae
Also listed under: 2 other names
Rfam family: tRNA
About the family: Transfer RNA (tRNA) molecules are approximately 80 nucleotides in length. Their secondary structure includes four short double-helical elements and three loops (D, anti-codon, and T loops). Further hydrogen bonds mediate the characteristic L-shaped molecular structure. tRNAs have two regions of fundamental functional importance: the anti-codon, which is responsible for specific mRNA codon recognition, and the 3' end, to which the tRNAs corresponding amino acid is attached (by aminoacyl-tRNA synthetases). tRNAs cope with the degeneracy of the genetic code in two manners: having more than one tRNA (with a specific anti-codon) for a particular amino acid; and 'wobble' base-pairing, i.e. permitting non-standard base-pairing at the 3rd anti-codon position.
Source: Rfam by way of RNAcentral